AAACUGUGAGAGGUACAGCAUUAUUUGUUGCAGCUGAUAAUCUUGGAUGAUUGGAAAGGGAUUUUCCACCAAAGGGACCACUGGUGGAAAUGCCCAUGAGAACUGGUGUCUUAUAUGGCUUCUUCCAUUUCUCAUGGGUAGCUAUGUCCCUGAGGGUGACGACACUUGGGAAAUUCUCAUGCUUCUCAAGGACAUUGUUGAGCUAGUUGUGGCACCAUGGCAUACUGAAGAGACACUGCAUUUCCUGGAAUGUAAGAUAGCAGAGCACAGACAGCUGCUGCAGUCAACAUUUUUCUGAUUUUCGUUUAAAGCCUAAACAUCACUAUUUAGAACAUUACCCUCAGCUAAUAAGGAAAUUCGGGCCCCUGUGUGAAGUUUGGACAAUGCGCUUCGAGGGGAAGCUUAAGUUCUUUAAAAGGUCAAUUCGCAAUGCACAGAAUUUCAAAAAUGUUGCCAUGACACUUGCUACCAAACACCAGAAAGCAAUCAGUUACCAUCUUGAUUGUAGCACAUUUUUAAAACCAUCAGUUGAGAUCUCAAAGGUCACCCCAGUUUUGCUUGCCUCUUUCCCCAUGAAUGUUCAGAGUGUAAUCACUCAAAACAUUCAGGAUCAGUCUGGAUCUGUUUUUGAUGUGUCGUCUGUCUGUUUAGAUGGAAUCAAGUAUAAUCCAGGCAUGAUUCUCUGUACUGGCUCAUGCUCAGGUCUCCCUGAAUAUGCCCAAAUUGAGAAGAUUGUUGUGGCUAACACAGAAAUUUUGUUUGUUUGCCACAAAAUGACAGCAUACGACUUGAGAUCGUACCAACUUCUCUGCAGUGAUGUCACCUCAAUGUGUGUGGUUAGGGUUUCAGAGCUGAAUGAUGUCUUCCCAUUAUCAGCAUACAAGGUGCAAGGAGAACUUAUGGUGACACUGAGACGAUAUGUUAUCUGCUAAAAACGUCUUUAUUAUUUUUUCCCAGAUGGCUGUCCAACAGAAAUUAACCAUGAGAGUUACUGUCUCUGAGGGAGAUAUAAGAAAAAUGACUAUGACAACACGGCCUGACAGACUUGAAGAUUUGAUUGGGUGGCUCAAAUCCACCCUCCAAACGAACUACAGCUUCUCUUUACAGUACCAAGAUCCUGAAUUUAACAAUGAACUAUGCAAUCUUACAGAUCUUUCUGAGCUUCCGGAUAAGCCAACCAUCAAAAUCAUCCCUAUAAUUGAGCUUGAACCAGUUGCUGCACAAAAUGAAUGUUUUAGUGAAACAUGCAGCCUGGCAGACACAGAGAUCCUGUCUGUCUCUUCUCUGGAUAGAAAUUCUCAGUGGCCAGAUGCAUUUUCUAUUCCAAAAUUUUCAGUUUAUGUCGAGUAUCGACUUCGUCAAGGCAACCUGCUGUAUCUGAGGGAUGAAACCAAUCUGAAAGUCCCAAAAGAGAUGAAACAUGAUAUUCUGGAGAAACUUGCUGAGGCCAUCUAUGAGUUUAAAGCAUAUCCAACAAAAGAAGAAUUUGAUGCCGUUGCAAAAGCCUUGGUACAAACACACCCAUGUCUUAAAGAGCCAGGUCAUCCUCUGGUUGGGAAGGAUGGAAAAAUAGUUUAAAAUUCAAGAUGGGGAAUUAUAGGAACAAAAUGCGCCAGCUGGGUCGACUUGAAGUCACUGUCAAUGCUGGUAAACGUACACUGCAAUUGGCAACCCUCCCAACAAAGACAUCAAGAAGCCUAGGAAAGGGGAAAUAAAUUUCUUACCUGAAAAUCCAGAGGGGAUGGAUGACAAGAACCUAGGAGUUCAUCAGGUUCUUGUUAAUGAAAUGAAGAAGACGAAGCCAAAUGGAUCCCUUGUCAAGCAACACAUGGACAUGACAUUUGCUAGAUAAGACUCUUAUUCCUCAUCUGGUAUCAUUUAAAACCCUUUGAAGCUGCACUGAAAACUGUAAUUUUGACCUUCAACUGUUUGGAGAGACCAUUGAGGUCCAUUAUAAGGAGAACAAUCCUGGAAUGUUUUCAUCAAAAACCUUAAUUUCUUUUCGUCCAAAGAAAGAAAGACAUGAGCAUCUUAGAUGACAUGAGGGUGAGUAAAUUAUCAGGAAAAUUUUAUUUGAAAGUGGACUAACCCUUUAAACUACACCAGAGCGCGUACACACCUCAUGCACCGGAUGCUCAAGGCAGUUGGACAUAGUGGUGUAUUAGAGAUUUUGUUACCAUUGACAAGCAUUAUACGACUGACAGACCACAACGGUUGGAGUUAAAAACCAUCAUUUGUGUUCUACUGAAGAAACAAAGUCACCUACGUCUUGAAUGCCCUGGGGGAUAUCACUGACGAGGACUCGUACCAACGAAUUCCAGUAGGAAUCCUCUACGUUGAUGCAGAAAGUCCACAGCUAAUUCCCGAGUGUGCAUCAUCUUGGAAGGGAUUUUGGUUAUGGAACCGGACAACCUGCCUCAAGCCUUCUGUCUUUUUGGACUCAUUUGUGGCCUUCACUUGGACUAUCCAAAGUGUAUGAAAAACACUUUCCAUUUUAUCCAGCAGGUAUUUCUUAACCUUGGAAAGGUGGAGCUGGCACCAAAAAUUCAAUCCUUGAAAAAACAGCUUGCAAUUAUGGUGUAAAAUGGUAUCCUCCACAAGACAUCUAAUUUUUUUUUUUUUUUCUGUGUUCCAUGAAAAAAAGGCUCAAGUCAGAUUUUCUUCAAUAGAUACGUGCUUUUAUUCACAAUAAUAAAAAUAAGGUGCCUUGUAUUUUGUUUUAAUUUUUUGUUCAUUUAUUUUAAAUACUCUGCAGUGUUGCACUUUGAAAUUAAUCUAAGCACACAUUUCCUCACUCUGAUAGUUCAGCAGACCAUAUCUGCAGGAAGUUAAAUAAUUUUACAGGUUCCCUAAAGAAGAGUAAAAGAGAUUAGUCUAUAAAAUAUUUUUUUUUUUGAGAGUGAUAGCAAUAACAAAACUGUUAUAUUUAUUAUCCCCCUCAAUCACUAACUUUUCAAACACACAUCUCUACAAUCCUUUUCUACAUCAAAAGAUU
Long non-coding RNA from Ctenopharyngodon idella (grass carp), 2995 nucleotides. RefSeq lists it as uncharacterized. The record is from RefSeq and is a predicted model, not a curated record. The transcript has 3 exons. NCBI's taxonomy places the organism in Eukaryota, Metazoa, Chordata, Actinopteri, Cypriniformes, Xenocyprididae.